GAACGCACCUUCGGGUGAGUGGCGGACGGGUGAGUAACACGUGGGAACGUGCCCUUUGGUUCGGAAUAAUCCGGGGAAACCUGGCCUAAUACCGAAUGUGCCCUACGGGGGAAAGAUUUAUCGCCAUUGGAGCGGCCCGCGUCUGAUUAGCUAGUUGGUGGGGUAAUGGCCCACCAAGGCGACGAUCAGUAGCUGGUCUGAGAGGAUGAUCAGCCACACUGGGACUGAGACACGGCCCAGACUCCUACGGGAGGCAGCAGUAGGGAAUCUUGCGCAAUGGGCGAAAGCCUGACGCAGCCAUGCCGCGUGAAUGAUGAAGGUCUUAGGAUUGUAAAAUUCUUUCAGCGGGGAAGAUAAUGACGGUACCCGCAGAAGAAGCCCCGGCUAACUUCGUG
RNAcentral lists this ribosomal RNA (395 nucleotides) under uncultured bacterium. RNAcentral describes it as "bacterial SSU rRNA". It matches the Rfam family "Bacterial small subunit ribosomal RNA", at positions 64 to 507 of the family's 1533-position model. The record is from RNAcentral.